UUCGUUGACAACGAACUUCACAAGUGUGUUCAACCAUUAUUAAGGCAUUGUUUCCAACUGACACGAAACAAUUCAGUUGACUCGUUUCGCUUUUCUGUGGGUUGAAAUUGCACCAGGAUUGUUCUUCACAAUUGUUAUCGGCGCGAAUAUAAUUGCCGAAGAUUUCCAAAGUGGCGCACUAAGAAGGAAGGUGGUUGUUGUUAAGAAUGGAAACGCCCUUGGAUGUACUGUCAAGAGCUGCGUCGUUAGUGUAUGCGGAUGAUGAGAAACGACAAUGACCCAACACACCUCCAGGCUGUGUAAGGACUGUUUGACCAAGAAGGAGAGUGAGGGAGUGCUGCAUCAGAUGACCUGGCCUCCACAAUCCCCCAACCUCAUCCAAAUGGAGAUGGUUUGGAAUAAGUUGGACCGCAAUGAAGGAAAAGCAGCCAACAAGUGCUCAACAUAUGUGGGAACUCCCUCAAGACUGUUAGAAACCCAU
Salvelinus namaycush (lake trout) is the source of this 481-nucleotide long non-coding RNA. RefSeq lists it as uncharacterized. The transcript is spliced from 3 exons. The record is from RefSeq and is a predicted model, not a curated record. Lineage: Eukaryota; Metazoa; Chordata; Actinopteri; Salmoniformes; Salmonidae.